This 437-nucleotide ribosomal RNA is filed under the name uncultured bacterium. Its description in RNAcentral is "partial 16S ribosomal RNA". It matches the Rfam family "Bacterial small subunit ribosomal RNA", at positions 29 to 507 of the family's 1533-position model. The record is from RNAcentral.
AGCGAACGCUGGCGGCAGGCUUAACACAUGCAAGUCGAGCGGGCAUCCUUGUGGUGUCAGCGGCAGACGGGUGAGUAACGCGUGGGAACGUGCCCUUCGGUUCGGAAUAACUCAGGGAAACUUGAGCUAAUACCGGAUACGUGCGAGAGCAGAAAGGUUUAUCUGCCGAAGGAUCGGCCCGCGUCUGAUUAGCUAGUUGGUGAGGUUACGGCUCACCAAGGCGACGAUCAGUAGAUGGUCUGAGAGGAUGAUCAGCCACACUGGGACUGAGACACGGCCCAGACUCCUACGGGAGGCAGCAGUGGGGAAUAUUGGACAAUGGGGGCAACCCUGAUCCAGCCAUGCCGCGUGAGUGAUGACGGCCUUAGGGUUGUAAAGCUCUUUUCUCCGGGACGAUAAUGACGGUACCGGAGGAAUAAGCCCCGGCUAACUUCGUG